UAGGGAAUCUUCGGCAAUGGACGAAAGUCUGACCGAGCAACGCCGCGUGAGUGAAGAAGGUUUUCGGAUCGUAAAACUCUGUUGUUAGAGAAGAACAAGUACGUUAGUAACUGAACGUCCCCUGACGGUAUCUAACCAGAAAGCCACGGCUAACUACGUGCCAGCAGCCGCGGUAAUACGUAGGUGGCAAGCGUUGUCCGGAUUUAUUGGGCGUAAAGCGAGCGCAGGCGGUUUCUUAAGUCUGAUGUGAAAGCCCCCGGCUCAACCGGGGAGGGUCAUUGGAAGCUGGGAGACUUGAGUGCAGAAGAAGAGAGUGGAAUUCCAUGUGUAGCGGUGAAAUGCGUAGAUAUAUGGAGGAACACCAGUGGCGAAGGCGGCUAUCUGGUCUGUAAAUGACGCUGAGGCUCGAAAGCGUGGGGAGCAAACAGG
This 429-nucleotide ribosomal RNA is filed under the name Gemmatimonadota bacterium. Its description in RNAcentral is "Gemmatimonadetes bacterium partial 16S ribosomal RNA". It matches the Rfam family "Bacterial small subunit ribosomal RNA", at positions 355 to 776 of the family's 1533-position model. Lineage: Bacteria; Pseudomonadati; Gemmatimonadota. The record is from RNAcentral.